This 3081-nucleotide ribosomal RNA is filed under the name Salmonella enterica subsp. enterica serovar Typhimurium. Its description in RNAcentral is "bacterial LSU rRNA". It matches the Rfam family "Bacterial large subunit ribosomal RNA". The record is from RNAcentral. Lineage: Bacteria; Pseudomonadati; Pseudomonadota; Gammaproteobacteria; Enterobacterales; Enterobacteriaceae.
ACUAAGCGUACACGGUGGAUGCCCUGGCAGUCAGAGGCGAUGAAGGGCGUGCUAAUCUGCGAUAAGCGCCGGUAAGGUGAUAUGAACCGUUAUAACCGGCGAUACCCGAAUGGGGAAACCCAGUGUGAUUCGUCACACUAUCAUUAACUGAAUCCAUAGGUUAAUGAGGCGAACCGGGGGAACUGAAACAUCUAAGUACCCCGAGGAAAAGAAAUCAACCGAGAUUCCCCCAGUAGCGGCGAGCGAACGGGGAGGAGCCCAGAGCCUGAAUCAGCAUGUGUGUUAGUGGAAGCGUCUGGAAAGGCGCGCGAUACAGGGUGACAGCCCCGUACACAAAAGCGCAUGUGCUGUGAGCUCGAUGAGUAGGGCGGGACACGUGGUAUCCUGUCUGAAUAUGGGGGGACCAUCCUCCAAGGCUAAAUACUCCUGACUGACCGAUAGUGAACCAGUACCGUGAGGGAAAGGCGAAAAGAACCCCGGCGAGGGGAGUGAAAAAGAACCUGAAACCGUGUACGUACAAGCAGUGGGAGCCCCACCACCAAAGCAUUCUCUGGUGUUGAAGGCCCUGCAAAGCAGCAUCGCGGUGGCGGAGCGUCGUUUGCGACGCCCAACACACAAAACAAGCGGUGAAUGCUUUGGGGUGGGGUGACUGCGUACCUUUUGUAUAAUGGGUCAGCGACUUAUAUUCUGUAGCAAGGUUAACCGAAUAGGGGAGCCGGAGGGAAACCGAGUCUUAAUUGGGCGUUAAGUUGCAGGGUAUAGACCCGAAACCCGGUGAUCUAGCCAUGGGCAGGUUGAAGGUUGGGUAACACUAACUGGAGGACCGAACCGACUAAUGUUGAAAAAUUAGCGGAUGACCUGUGGCUGGGGGUGAAAGGCCAAUCAAACCGGGAGAUAGCUGGUUCUCCCCGAAAGCUAUUUAGGUAGCGCCUCGUGAAUUCAUCUCCGGGGGUAGAGCACUGUUUCGGCUAGGGGGCCAUCCCGGCUUACCAACCCGAUGCAAACUGCGAAUACCGGAGAAUGUUAUCACGGGAGACACACGGCGGGUGCUAACGUCCGUCGUGAAGAGGGAAACAACCCAGACCGCCAGCUAAGGUCCCAAAGUCAUGGUUAAGUGGGAAACGAUGUGGGAAGGCCCAGACAGCCAGGAUGUUGGCUUAGAAGCAGCCAUCAUUUAAAGAAAGCGUAAUAGCUCACUGGUCGAGUCGGCCUGCGCGGAAGAUGUAACGGGGCUAAACCAUGCACCGAAGCUGCGGCAGCGAACGUAUCACCCAAGACAACUUUACGGAGUUGACGAUUGACGGAGCGAAGCGACGUCAAAGCGUUCAUUAAAGUCGAGUUGGCUUAGGGAUACGUUCGUUGGGUAGGGGAGCGUUCUGUAAGCCUGUGAAGGUGUGUCGUGAGGCAUGCUGGAGGUAUCAGAAGUGCGAAUGCUGACAUAAGUAACGAUAAAGCGGGUGAAAAGCCCGCUCGCCGGAAGACCAAGGGUUCCUGUCCAACGUUAAUCGGGGCAGGGUGAGUCGACCCCUAAGGCGAGGCCGAAAGGCGUAGUCGAUGGGAAACGGGUUAAUAUUCCCGUACUUGGUGUUACUGCGAAGGGGGGACGGAGAAGGCUAUGUUGGCCGGGCGACGGUUGUCCCGGUUUAAGCGUGUAGGUGUGUGUUCCAGGUAAAUCCGGUUCACUUUAACACUGAGGCGUGACGACGAGGCACUACGGUGCUGAAGCAACAAAUGCCCUGCUUCCAGGAAAAGCCUCUAAGCAUCAGGUAACAUCAAAUCGUACCCCAAACCGACACAGGUGGUCAGGUAGAGAAUACCAAGGCGCUUGAGAGAACUCGGGUGAAGGAACUAGGCAAAAUGGUGCCGUAACUUCGGGAGAAGGCACGCUGACACGUAGGUGAAGUGAUUUACUCAUGGAGCUGAAGUCAGUCGAAGAUACCAGCUGGCUGCAACUGUUUAUUAAAAACACAGCACUGUGCAAACACGAAAGUGGACGUAUACGGUGUGACGCCUGCCCGGUGCCGGAAGGUUAAUUGAUGGGGUCAGCGCAAGCGAAGCUCCUGAUCGAAGCCCCGGUAAACGGCGGCCGUAACUAUAACGGUCCUAAGGUAGCGAAAUUCCUUGUCGGGUAAGUUCCGACCUGCACGAAUGGCGUAAUGAUGGCCAGGCUGUCUCCACCCGAGACUCAGUGAAAUUGAACUCGCUGUGAAGAUGCAGUGUACCCGCGGCAAGACGGAAAGACCCCGUGAACCUUUACUAUAGCUUGACACUGAACAUUGAGCCUUGAUGUGUAGGAUAGGUGGGAGGCUUUGAAGUGUGGACGCCAGUCUGCAUGGAGCCGACCUUGAAAUACCACCCUUUAAUGUUUGAUGUUCUAACGUGGACCCGUAAUCCGGGUUGCGGACAGUGUCUGGUGGGUAGUUUGACUGGGGCGGUCUCCUCCUAAAGAGUAACGGAGGAGCACGAAGGUUGGCUAAUCCUGGUCGGACAUCAGGAGGUUAGUGCAAUGGCAUAAGCCAGCUUGACUGCGAGCGUGACGGCGCGAGCAGGUGCGAAAGCAGGUCAUAGUGAUCCGGUGGUUCUGAAUGGAAGGGCCAUCGCUCAACGGAUAAAAGGUACUCCGGGGAUAACAGGCUGAUACCGCCCAAGAGUUCAUAUCGACGGCGGUGUUUGGCACCUCGAUGUCGGCUCAUCACAUCCUGGGGCUGAAGUAGGUCCCAAGGGUAUGGCUGUUCGCCAUUUAAAGUGGUACGCGAGCUGGGUUUAGAACGUCGUGAGACAGUUCGGUCCCUAUCUGCCGUGGGCGCUGGAGAACUGAGGGGGGCUGCUCCUAGUACGAGAGGACCGGAGUGGACGCAUCACUGGUGUUCGGGUUGUCAUGCCAAUGGCACUGCCCGGUAGCUAAAUGCGGAAGAGAUAAGUGCUGAAAGCAUCUAAGCACGAAACUUGCCCCGAGAUGAGUUCUCCCUGAGACUUAGAGUCUCCUGAAGGAACGUUGAAGACGACGACGUUGAUAGGCCGGGUGUGUAAGCGCAGCGAUGCGUUGAGCUAACCGGUACUAAUGAACCGUGAGGCUUAACC